GGCCCCCUAGCCUGUCCCCCGUUUCAGAGCUAUGCUGGAAACAGCAUAGCAAGUUGAAAUAAGGCUAGUCCGUUAUCAACUUGAAAAAGUGGCACCGAGUCGGUGCUUUUUUU
This 113-nucleotide small RNA is filed under the name Vector pAAVsc_gSerpina1a. RNAcentral's name for it is "Serpina1a-gRNA3". The stretch from base 22 to 113 matches the Rfam family "Trans-activating crRNA". Rfam says of the family: RNA-guided Streptococcus pyogenes Cas9 (SpCas9) is a sequence-specific DNA endonuclease, the Trans-activating CRISPR RNA form an hybrid with the crRNA (crRNA/tracrRNA). The RNA hybrid acts as a guide for the endonuclease Cas9. The record is from RNAcentral.